UGGGGAAUUUUGGACAAUGGGCGAAAGCCUGAUCCAGCAAUGCCGCGUGUGUGAAGAAGGCCUUCGGGUUGUAAAGCACUUUUGUCCGGAAAGAAAUCCUUGGCUCUAAUACAGUCGGGGGAUGACGGUACCGGAAGAAUAAGCACCGGCUAACUACGUGCCAGCAGCCGCGGUAAUACGUAGGGUGCAAGCGUUAAUCGGAAUUACUGGGCGUAAAGCGUGCGCAGGCGGUUUGCUAAGACCGAUGUGAAAUCCCCGGGCUCAACCUGGGAACUGCAUUGGUGACUGGCAGGCUAGAGUAUGGCAGAGGGGGGUAGAAUUCCACGUGUAGCAGUGAAGUGCGUAGAGAUGUGGAGGAAUACCGAUGGCGAAGGCAGCCCCCCUGGGCCAAUACUGACGCUCAUGCACGAAAGCGUGGGGAGCAAACAGGAUUAGAUACCCUGGUAGUCCACGCCCUAAACGAUGUCAACUAGUUGUUGGGGAUUCAUUUCCUUAGUAACGUAGCUAACGCGUGAAGUUGACCGCCUGGGGAGUACGGUCGCAAGAUUAAAACUCAAAU
RNAcentral lists this ribosomal RNA (559 nucleotides) under uncultured bacterium. RNAcentral describes it as "partial 16S ribosomal RNA". It matches the Rfam family "Bacterial small subunit ribosomal RNA", at positions 355 to 906 of the family's 1533-position model. The record is from RNAcentral.